CUCAAAGUAAAGGUUGUCAACUAAUUUCCAUGAAAAUAACUUUUGUAUAAUGAUUUAGUUUUUUAAGGAAUAACAUAUUUCUUAGGACAAUGUCCAUAGGAACUACUUAUAGGAGAGGAUCUGAGCCUAUGCCUUGUUUGGGUUUGGAACCCCAACUGAUAUAGAAAUAAAAGAGAUGGAAACUAAUAUACCAUUCCUUAGAUGUGGGUAGCAGGGCCUAGACCAAGAAUACAGAAAGUGUGAAUGGCAAAGGCAAGUUAAAUAGUUGGUAAGUUGAUGCCAUUUGUUCAAAUGUCCAUGGUCAAUGUCAACCAUGCAAUUCAAGUCACCACAGAACAUCAGAGAACUUACUAUCACAGCACACCCUGAAAGUGACUAUCAUAAGCAAAUGCCAUAACUCGUGUCACAGGUUUAAAUAGAGGCUCCUCAAUGAUGAAUGAUUUGACGUCUUAACUGGGAUCUGCUGGGCAGCAAACCCUGUCUCCACUACUUCCUUCUUAUAGGCUUUAUAAAGGCUAAGCCUGCUGGUGCCAGGAUUGACUUAUUGGCUAAAAGAGAUCAACUGAACUAGCAUCUUGGCUCAGGAGAGCUAACAUAAGUACGAGAUUCCACUGCCAGGAGCCAAUGUCAAUGUCAGGAUCCUAUCUUGACAACCAAAAGAGGCCACACUCUGCUAAACAAAUGGCCUUUACAUUGAUUGAAGUUGAUGUUCUGAUCCUGACUAGACUUCUGAUCCUGACUUGUACUGAGAACACCUACUCUACUCUGAAUUGCAUUGAACCCAUCCUGAUUUAUCCUAUCAACCUGCUUUAUUUCCAAUCUGCUUACUAUCAAGAAGCUUGGGGACAAAAUCUGAUCUUCAAAACCAACUUGCUCUAUUCUAAACUGGACUUUAAUACCUUAUUAUUUUGUUUUAAAUCUACCGAACACCUACCGAAACCUACGCAACCAACCUGGAUAAUACAAACAUUUAUCCUGAACGAUCCUGUUACAACUAUCUGAAAUCUGCAGUACUACCUCCAAACCAAAGAGGCUGAUCACCUUAAUGUCUAACUGACCUGUAUUUCUUAAACCUUUUAUAUUCAGUUUAGUGCUGUCUAGUUAUAUUUUCUUUACAUGUAACCUAUACUUUCAUUUAUAGGUUUUCCUUCUCUUUAUUUACCUAUAAUUUCACUUAUAGGAGAUAUUGAAAAUCAUGAUGGAUAAAUCAUCCCAGAGAUAACCAUAGGCUCCUAAUCUGGUGUUAUAAUGCUCGGGAGAACCAAUAAUAAAACCACAGACACUUCGUUUGUAGUUCUAAAUUACCUCUAUCUUUAAUGGGAGAGCAUUGCAUAUAUAAAAUGGUAUUAGUCUACUGCGCAUGUGUCAAAGCAACAAUGACUUACUUGAAGAAAGUGUUAUCUAAGCUAUGCAAGGUUAACAAAAAGUAAAAGUAAGAUUUAACAUGAGAGAGAGAAG
This is a non-coding RNA of Pelobates cultripes (western spadefoot toad), 1458 nucleotides long. The record is from the annotation of a GenBank genome assembly. NCBI's taxonomy places the organism in Eukaryota, Metazoa, Chordata, Amphibia, Anura, Pelobatidae.